CCCUUAGACGUUCUGGGCCGCACGCGCGCUACACCGACGAAGGCAACGAGCUUUCCUUUACUGAAAGGUACGGGUAAUCUUUUGAAACUUCGUCGUGCUGGGGAUAGAUCCUUGCAAUUAUUGAUCUUAAACGAGGAAUUCCUAGUAAGCGCAAGUCAUCAACUUGCGUUGAUUACGUCCCUGCCCUUUGUACACACCGCCCGUCGCUACUACCGAUUGAAUGGUUUAGUGAGGCCUUCGGAUCCGCGACUCGUUUUGUGGAGAAGUUGGACAAACUCAGUCAUUUAGAGGAAGUAAAAGUCGUAACA
Molecule: ribosomal RNA, 308 nt
Filed under: uncultured eukaryote
Lineage: Eukaryota
Description: partial 18S ribosomal RNA
Rfam family: Eukaryotic small subunit ribosomal RNA
Source: RNAcentral